This 253-nucleotide ribosomal RNA is filed under the name uncultured bacterium. RNAcentral describes it as "partial 16S ribosomal RNA". It matches the Rfam family "Bacterial small subunit ribosomal RNA", at positions 524 to 776 of the family's 1533-position model. The record is from RNAcentral.
UACGUAGGGGGCAAGCGUUGUCCGGAAUUAUUGGGCGUAAAGAGCGUGUAGGCGGCCAGAUAAGUCCGCUGUGAAAUCUCGAGGCUCAACUUCGAGCUGUCGGUGGAAACUAUCUGGCUAGAGUCCGGAAGAGGAGAAUGGAAUUCCUGGUGUAGCGGUGAAAUGCGCAGAUAUCAGGAAGAACACCCGUGGCGAAGGCGGUUCUCUGGGACGGUACUGACGCUGAGACGUGAAAGCGUGGGGAGCGAACAGG